AGCCCGAAGGCAGCAUGAAAGCGGGCAGGCGCGGCUAUCCCGCCCGCUCCUGUGUAGGAUGGCUUUUGGCGAAGUGCUGCUGCUGCUGCUCCUGCAAAGUCUUUCUUGGGCUUGGAUAGGAGCAAAAUGCUUUGAAAACAUCUGUUUCUCACAGUUCAGAAAUCUCUGAAUGGUGAUGUGGGAAGGUCUGGUGAAGCUGGCUGAGCUGAAACGUUAAGAGAGAUGUGGGAAAGCCACGGCAGCUAGAGCGCCUUGUAAAAAUAAAAUAAAAAUCUGGGGUUUACAAGGAACAGUGCAGCUCAGAUGCAUUGACUGAAGAUUUCCCAGCCUGCAGUCUUUAUGCUGUGAUAUGGCUCUUGAACUCGUUCUGGAUAAUGUGAGGUUUUUUAAGAUCUGUGUGUGGUAUUUCAGUGUUUCCUGUUCACUGAAUGGCCAAGCAAAAAUGUCCCAAACAAAACUUGCCUUUUCUUUUGUUUUGGGUCCUUUUUUUAAAACAAAAGCUUUUAAAUGCAGUUUUUUGGUAAUUGUGCAACCCACUCAUACAUCCCCAGAUAAAGAUGACUUUGAGGAUUGGUGGGCUUACUAAUUUCUUGAGGCACACAUUUGCAGUGCAGGAGCCCUGUUUACCCAGUUAUUGAACUAGAGUCACGCUUCUGUGGUGACAGCAGCAAACUAGUUGGCGAUGAAGUUUGCCAUGAUUUCAUAAGACAUUGAUCUUUUUCAGCCUCGGGAGAACACACUACUUCAUGCCAAAGAAGUGACUCGAGGUCAAUGCACAAAACCCCGCUGUUUUGCAGCCUUUAAGAAGGAACAUGUAACCCGGUUGUAGGGGUAGGGCUGCUAACAGAAAGGUUGUGGUUCUAAAUUACUGUGAAAGCCAAGACUCUCGGACAGCCUGUGCUUUAAUGUGUUGGCCCAUGCAGCAGGUUGGAGCAGUAUUCAAGCUCUCUGACAGGGCUCUGGUCUUUAAAAUGUUGAUUCUAACAGAUCUAAAUCUCCCUGCUGCCUGUCCUGCCUGCAAACGUCUCUAGAAGGGGGAAGGGGAAACAGCUGGCUCUUCUCUCUCCUUUUGAAACGUUAACUGUGUUUGCACUUCUAGUUUACCGGGUUAGUAACAAAAGGUGUUUGUGAUACCGAUUGCUUUACUUCUUUCUUGUCUUUGGUAGUGAACUUUGGGCAAAAAGUUGUAAAAGGCUAUCUGUUAUGCUGUAUUUAUUAAAGAAAACCAGAGGUAGUCAGAUGGUGGACAUAGUCCCUGGAUAUAAGCAAGUACCAAACCUGACAUUUGAUGAGGGAUUUGGGUGCCCCAGACUACAGCAUCAGUGUGCUGUCAUUGGUAGCUUCUGCCAUUAAGCUUGGAGAUUCUUUAAUGCGGCAACCAGACCUUUGAAGCUCUGACUUCAUGUAUUCUGCAUUGUCAGUGAUGAUCUUUGCUUCUGGGGGGACACUGUUCAUCACAGCGCUUCUUGCUGAUCUUAGACUUGCAGUACAAAUAGGUGACUGCAUUUAAGAUGGAUGUGAAGCACCUUGGAGCCGUUCUCACUGCUGCCCCAUAAAUGACCUUCCCUUUGCCUUUGGAAAUGGCAGCUCUGCUUUUUCCUGGUGACAGAAGGCUGAUGUAUCUUGAUCUUUUGCAACAACUGAGUAGGUUUUGUUGCACCAAUAAGAACUGUGCAGUGAGAGACAUUGAGAAGACGAGCAUGCAGUCUGUGCUCAAACAGAGGUUGUGUCAGUACAAGCUGUGUCAAUGCUUUUUGUGCCGUCUAGCUUGGAAGUGAUGUGGACACUUGAACUCCUAAAUAGCAACAAUAAUGCAGAGCUGAAAAAAAACAAACCCCAGGUCCCCAAUGUAUCACGAAAUAGGUAAAUUUCGUGUAACUGGGCAUUUCUCUGAAGGAUUUUGACAGAUAACUCAUACUACUCUUUUGCAGCAAUCUUAUCCUGUCUUUUGCAGCAAUAGAGACCUUGAUACUGCUUUCUUGCUUGUUUCUCUUGGUGAGUUUCUGAUCUUGUCAGCUUUGCCCAUGUACAAAGCUACUGGGAUCCAUCCAGAGAAACCAACUGACACUUAGUACCAUUUGCAGUUUUGCUCCAACUCUGAUAGUCCCCUGCAUGGACUAAAUAAGGACUACUUGUCUGUUCUGAAAUACGGAAAAAUAUGAAUCCUAAUAUAGGAGUGCCUCAGAGCAAGAGUCUGUCACUUGCUUUCAGCCAUAAAAAGGGGUAGUUAAGAGCAGUAGACUUGCACAGCCUUCAGGCUAAUGGCCUUGAUCAGCCAAGAGUGGGCAAGCAAGGCUUUUUGCUGUAUCUCCUAAAUGCACAAAUGCAAAGUGACCUAGUGUAAUGGGAUACUUCUUAGUACUGCAAAACUGGCCCCGAAAGCAG
This is a long non-coding RNA of Harpia harpyja (harpy eagle), 2385 nucleotides long. RefSeq lists it as uncharacterized. Lineage: Eukaryota; Metazoa; Chordata; Aves; Accipitriformes; Accipitridae. The transcript is spliced from 2 exons. The record is from RefSeq and is a predicted model, not a curated record.